AUGAGUAUUGGAAAUAAGAUCUCAGGAGUAAAACCCCUCCAUCUUUAUUGUCACAUAUUCAAAGAAAGAAAGAAAGAAAAGAAAAAAAGGAAAAGGGGCAAUCUAGGGAUUCAAGACAGCGUCGCCUCGUCUUCUUCGCUGGUCCUCCGUCGCAAUUCUCCUUCAACCCAACAUCUCACCUCACGAUCUCCGGCGUCGCCUUAUAAAUUAGCGCCUCCGUCUUCUCUUCAAAAGAACAACAUGGCAACAUUAUAUGCCAAAGGAAAAGAUUGA
Non-coding RNA from Vicia faba (fava bean), 273 nucleotides. The record is from the annotation of a GenBank genome assembly. NCBI's taxonomy places the organism in Eukaryota, Viridiplantae, Streptophyta, Magnoliopsida, Fabales, Fabaceae.